ACGGAAGGCAGCAGCUAAGAAUAUUCCGCAAUGGACGAAAGUCUGACGGAGCGACGCCGCGUGGAUGAUGAAGGUCGGAAGAUUGUAAAAUCCUUUUAAGCAUGAAGAAUAAGCAGUGUGGGUAAUGACAUUGUGGUGACGGUAGUGCUUGAAUAAGCAACGGCUAAUUACGUGCCAGCAGCCGCGGUAAUAUGUAAGUUGCGAGCGUUGUUCGGAAUUAUUGGGCGUAAAGGGCAUGUAGGCGGAUAUGCGAGCUUGGUGUGAAAGGCGGGAGCUUAACUCCCGAACUGCGUUGAGGACUGCAGAACUAGAGUGACUGAGGGGCAGGCAGAAUUCCAGGUGUAGGGGUGAAAUCUGUAGAUAUCUGGAAGAAUACCAAUGGCGAAGGCAGCCUGCCAGCAGAUGACUGACGCUGAGGUGCGAAGGUGCGGGGAGCAAACAGGAUUAGAUACCCUGGUA
RNAcentral lists this ribosomal RNA (459 nucleotides) under uncultured Treponema sp. Its description in RNAcentral is "bacterial SSU rRNA". It matches the Rfam family "Bacterial small subunit ribosomal RNA", at positions 341 to 792 of the family's 1533-position model. Lineage: Bacteria; Pseudomonadati; Spirochaetota; Spirochaetia; Treponematales; Treponemataceae. The record is from RNAcentral.